Molecule: long non-coding RNA, 2140 nt
Filed under: Neodiprion lecontei (redheaded pine sawfly)
Lineage: Eukaryota; Metazoa; Arthropoda; Insecta; Hymenoptera; Diprionidae
Description: uncharacterized LOC124295531, transcript variant X3
Source: RNAcentral
CUCUUCGUUCCCCCCUCACUAAACAGUUAUCUCGAACGUUUUUAGUGUAUCGUGUUGUGAUUUUAAGCGUCCUACCAAACUUUUUAGAUGUCGGAGCAGUGCGUGAGGAUAAUUCGUCUUUACCCGGAUGAAGAAGGUGGUGUUACAAGUGAGUGAAACCAGUGAAAUCCGUAUAUUAUUUUAUACGGAAAUCCACGUAAAGAGGACUUAUUGAUUUUUCCACGCGGACUUCCAACGCAUGGAUUGGACCACAUUUGUAACGGCUCGACUACAUCAAACGAGACCAAAGGAAGUUAUUGCUGUAAUCACCCGGACAACGAGAAGGACACAUCGGACGCCGGCUUGACGGCCCGGCAGGCAGCUCUUGUCCCAUAAACAAACGGCCCGAAGGAGGUCGCCACUGUUCCCGUAGGACUGCCGGGUGACCGGGAUGAAUAUUUCACGGUACAUUCGCGGGAUUUGCCGAGGCUGUUUUCUUCCUGUUUCCCGAGAGGAGUGUACAAGUACGUGCGGAGCCCCGUACCGCGUCGCUUUGCCGAAGCAAGGAGGGUAAAAGAGUCGGGGAUGAGGCAGGUAACUUCCUAACCGAAUUGUCAAGUUGGUGAGAGAGGUUGCAGGGGUGUACAUCAGGGCCGGGGAAAAUGCCGGGGCAAAGGCGAAGAGACGACGACGACGACUUGCAGAGGCCGUCAACUUCCACGCGGGGAACGAGAAGCCGAAGAGGAAAUGAGAGAGAUGGAGCGAUGUAAAAAAAAAAAAAAAAAAAUCAAGAAGUCUUCUGAUUCGAUUUUUUUCAACCCGUAUCACAUCGAGCCAUCAGAAAUUUUCGACAGUCCUCCGUGCGGUAUGGAGUCCGAAACACUGGUCUGAGUGACAGAAGAUGGUGGUUGAAUUAUUCAAGAUUUCCAGUCACCGAACCUGACGAUACCAUCUCCUUGGAGAACAUCUUGCUGCACGGUCUCGUAACUUCUAAGGCCACGAUUAUACGGGAUGGAUUUGAGGACCUUUGUGAUGUUUGGCAAAGGACGAAUCACUUCUUGCGGAUAACUGCACACACAAUCAUCAUUGAGGCAAGAAGAACCAAAAAUGUUUGGACUCGAAAAAACCAGUCAACUACGGCGAGAGCUUUCGCGGGUCAUUUUUACUCUCAGUCUAACGAAAUAAGUGCCUUUCACAGGUCUCGCAACGCGUCCAUGUGCAAACAUGAAAAUUACGUAAAUCGAAUUCAAACCAUAAUGUUGUUCCACCCUAUAAGACACCAUGUUUUGAAUAUUGGGCUAUGUAUUAUCUGUAAAAUAAAAUACCAGACUGCGAUACUUCCUUUAUAUUAAAUAUCACAUUGCUAUAUUGACUGUACCCUAAGUUUUGACUACUGUACAAAUACAUAAAAAGCUAACGGUGAUGGGCGGGAAAUGAUCAACUUGAUUGAAAUUGAUGGUUCACUGAGUACUUGAACGGAGUCAUGAUUUAUCGACAAUUUCAAAUAUCAGAGCUAGCUCCUGAUAGAGGAUAAGCUCAAGCACGUUUCGGAAGGGUGCUGAAUCUGGUACUAGUGGCACCAUCCAUAGGGAAGCCUGAGAGACACCAUCCUGGCAUUCUGUCCUUAAAGUAGACACAUCGAUAACUGACCAGCAUUCACCACCAAGAGAGCACGAGAUGAUCCAAAGCAUACUUAUCAUGUGGGAAGCUUUCUGUGAGAAAAUCGAUUCGAUCAACCCUUAGCAGACUGAUUGGACAUCAGAGAUUGCAACAAACGCAUUCAUAGUAUUGAAGAAACGACCGCUGGUAUAAUACAAAUUGGAUAAAUUGUAAUUUAGUGGUUUAGUACUUAUAAUCCAGGUUACACUGAGUAGUGAGAAUACAAUAUCAUCCACAUCGUUUUCAGCGGAAGUGCAUUGCGCCUGUGCACGCUCGCAAGCGCGAACUUUAACGAUACUUACAAACUAAGAUCCUUAUGUAAGAUUUUUCAUACUCGGCUUAAGAUAAUGUAUGAUGCACUUCCGUGCUAUCAUAUGAUGGUGAAAUAUUUUAUCUAUUGUUCAAACAGAUUCGUAGCAUUUGUUUUGUGUCUUGGAUUUGUGUAGUCUUUCAUAACAUGGAAAAAAUUGUACACUGACACCAAAAUACCUGUACAGAAAUC